Molecule: long non-coding RNA, 409 nt
Filed under: Gallus gallus (chicken)
Lineage: Eukaryota; Metazoa; Chordata; Aves; Galliformes; Phasianidae
Source: RNAcentral
GGCACUCAUCAUCUCUCCUUCUGUAGCUGCGAAGGAGCACUGCUUUGUUGGGCCGCAUUUAAAGGGUCCACGAUCUGACCAGAUAACAGGGCUUCCAGUCGGUCGUCAAUCUCCGUUUUUUCCCUAAACGCACACCACAGCAACAGCCCGCUGCACAGCAGGCUGAGAGGCAGCACCUUCACCCACGGCCUCUGGUAGUCACUCCCCAUAGACUGGCUGACGCUCCACACCCGCGGGCUGGCCUUGCUGGCAGAGAAGGGGAUGGCUCCCUCGCCCUCUGGAUCCUCCUUAGCUGAGCCCUCAGGGUCACGCCGCCCCGCCAGCCACCUCCGGGGGCCGGCCAAGCGCAAGGUGCACCGCGCCCGCCAGCCGCCCCGCGCCCAGCUCAUCCCGCCGCUCUCCUCCCCAC